GGCGAGAUGGCGGAGCGGUCCAUGGCGCUCGUUUUAGGCACCAGUCCUCUUGGGGGCGUGGGUUCGAAUCCCACUCUCGUCA
Angiostrongylus costaricensis is the source of this 82-nucleotide non-coding RNA. Lineage: Eukaryota; Metazoa; Nematoda; Chromadorea; Rhabditida; Metastrongylidae. The record is from Rfam.